Long non-coding RNA from Cryptotermes secundus, 6568 nucleotides. RefSeq lists it as uncharacterized. The record is from RefSeq and is a predicted model, not a curated record. The transcript is spliced from 3 exons. Lineage: Eukaryota; Metazoa; Arthropoda; Insecta; Blattodea; Kalotermitidae.
GUAAUUUCUUUACCUAUUUCAUUUUUGUUACAUUGUUAUUCACUUUUGUUGUUGUAUGUGUAUUCCUUCUCUUACCUUUUCCAUAUAAUCCUACCUGUACUGAACUGGUGAACAUGAACAUAAGAUUUUCAAUAGUAAUUGCAUUUCUUUAAGAUAUAUUAUUAAUUUUUUUUUAUAUAAUCGUAUCCAAACUAAGCACCUCUCAAAUAAGAGCAUACACCAUAAGUGCUAUGCCAACUUGCUUGCUGUUUUUAAUAUUAACUUGAAGUCAUCCAAACAGGUAAUUUGAGGGCCAUAAAUUAGAAACCAUCAGAGGGAACUGGGUGUAUAUAGCAGUUUUGGCCAAAAUUGCAGAUUGUUUGCACACAAUAGUGUAAGGACAACACAACCCUUUGGGGUAAAGUGCAGACUGCUGAAUCCUGUUCUGAGAGUUUGUUUAUUUAUUUGAUAUUUUAUAAUAUUACAUCAGCAAAUGAGAUUAUGCAUUAAUAAUGAAAUAUGACCAACAAAUUUUGAGGAGCACUGUAGGAAACAGCCUCGGAAGAUAGGAGAAGGUAUGCAUUUUUCUCAAAGGGUCCAGGGUGGACAGGAUACUUAUUCAAAACUCUGAAACUGUAACAACAUUCGGAUACUUAAAUAUGACAGUAACAGAAUAAGAAACAAAUUUGAUAGGUAUUUCCUAGAAUUAUGUUCAGAAUCCUUUAUCUUCUGUGUCCAAGCAGAAACCAUAUCAAAAUAUACAAAACCAUAAUUUUGCCUUUUGUUUUGUACAAAUGUGAAACUGUCUUUCACAUUGAGGGAAGAACACAGGUUGAGGGUAUCAGAGCAAAUUCUGAGCAGAAUAUAUGGAUCUAAGAAAGAGGAACAGAAUGAUGGAGAAAAUUAUAUAACAAGGAGUUUCAUUAUUUUCAUUCUUUCACCUGAUAUUUCUAGGAUGAUUUUGCAUGCAUGCAUGCAUGAGGAAUACAAUUCAGAAUAACAAAAAGCAAAGGAAGAGACAAAAGGAAAAUAAUAAGAUGCAUCUCUGAGAAAUGGAAUAUGAAGGAUUCAUCUAGCUCAGGUAGGGUCCAAUGGCAGACUUUUGUGAAGACAGUAAUGAACCUCCAGGUUCUAUAAAUGCAAGGAUUUUCGUUUCUAGCUGAGUAACUAUAAACUUUUCAAGCAGGACCCUGUGCCAUGGAGUUAGGAUAACCAGCCACCAACUGGAUUUGAAGAGGGUAUCUCCUGAAUGUGACCAUGCUAAAAUAGUUAAUAACUGUGUUGCAGUGCACAGGUGGAGUGCAAAAAUUGUCAGGGCUUUGUACAGUAAAAUCUGAUCACAUCAAUGUGAUUUGCACUUCGUGUAUUACAAUUACAUUUCAUUUUAAUCUGGAAAUGAAGCCUGAAACAGAUACAGAGGCCAAUCUGUCAAUCUGAUUACAGCAUCCAACAGUAUCACCACACACAGUUAUCUGAAUAUUGCUUAUAAGUGAAAUUGAAGAGUUAUACAAUUUAAAAAAAUAACCUUACACAUCACUACACAAUAAAACUGUCACAACACACAAACUAUUCAUAUUUCCUAAAAAUGAUAAUCCAUUUCUAACAAUACAAACAUCAAACUCAGUCUUGGCACUAUUACAAAAAAUCAUGUUUCAAGAUAUUCAAGGAAUAAGGCUUCAUUCAAGAGCUGGCAAUUUCUGCUGCCAUCUUGGAUUCAUGUUUCAUAUAAAUGAGUUUCCAGUAGUAUACUUGGUGUUAUAAAUUAUGCUCUUUUAAUAUAACAAUUAGUUUGCCUUAAUUAUCUAAUGUAGUUAUCUUUAAUGUUUAUUACUGAAUGUGGGAUAUUACUGUUCUGGUCAUCUGCCUUAUGGACAUUUGGUUAUAAACACCAAAGUAACAAAGUAAACAAAAGUAAAAUGACUGACAUACAACACAAUCACUAUUGAAAUAAAGAUAAAAUAUGGUAAGUAACAUCUGCUCAUACAGGGGAUUUCUUGGACCAAUUAAGUUCCAUCUGUUGUCUGGUGUUGGUGUCCAGUAUGAAAACAGAAUAUCUUAUAUAUUAUACCUUUGUCUGUACAAAUGCCAAAACUCUUGAUCAGUCUUGACCUCUCACACUUUUUGUACAUUUAGGAACCAACAUUAUAACCCAAGAAUUCUAUUUUUUGCAGAUAUAAUUCCAUGUAACCCAGCUGACUUCACUGGACUACGUGACAUUAUAUUCCAGAACCACUGCUGUGAGAACCUCAAGUCCUACAACAUUAUAAUUCCUUGUGUACAAUUUCCCCAUAGGCAUCAUUCUGAAAACUGAAUUUAUCAUUAGAAUUUAAUAUAGAAAAAGGACUAGGAAACAUGAAGAAAUUAACAAUCUGUUCCCUUUACACGUCAUUCUUCCACACAAUUUCUGGAAUGAUACAUACAAUGCAGCCAGAAUUCCAGUAAUAUGUUAAAACCUGGAAAUAUCCUAUAUGAUUUUUUUUCCUAUUUUAUAUGCCAACCACUGAAAAUUUCCCAUGUGGCAUAUAGUUUUUGCACUUGUUCUUCAGUAAGUGUCAUAAUACACACAAACCAAACCAAUUCACGACAGCUGGUUCAGAAAAAAAAAAGCAUUUUACAACAUAUGGAGUGCUGAUUAGAGUUUCAAUGAGGUAUUUUCAGGUGACUGGUCAAAUCAAUAUGGAAUAAAGCUCCAGUGUCUUGGAAAUGGUCUCUGUCUCCAACAUCAAGGCCUAAUGUAGAAAUCUCAAAGGAAGAGACCAGUUGAAAGACCUUAACCUGGAUGAGAAGAUAAUAUUAAAGUGAUUCUUACAAAAAUAAUGUGUGAAGAUGUAAACUCAAAUCAGGUAGUUCUAGACUGGGCCCAAUGAUAUUCUUUUGUUAACAUACUGAUGAACCUUUUGGUUCAAUACAAGCAUGGAAUUUCUUGACCAGUUGAAUGACUAUCGGUAUAUUCAAAGAUCUGCAACAUGAAGUAGGUUUCCACUGAGAACUUAUUUAUAUUUUGUUGCAGUGUAACAAUUAACAAAACAUAUUGUUAGUUGCUGAUGUAAUAAAUUUCACAUCAUGAUAAUUUACAUCACUCAAAUUCAGUCAGCUGUGAAUUUCUCACAAAAAUAUUUGCAUUGUAACAAAUUCCUCAUUGCCUGGAUUCAUGAAAAUACACUUAGCAGUCUAUUUCAAAACUAAACCAUGGAAAAAUUCUUAAUCCUUUCCAUGUUGCUUUUUAUUUAAAUAAAUCAUCUUCUGUUAGUAUAACUGCAUAGUAACAUAUAAUUUCCAUUCAUGAAGUCAUGAAUAUCUCCUUAGAGACUGUGGGACAUGUUUAUCUUUGAUUUCUUCAAAUGCCAAAUAAGCUGACAGCAGAUGUGCUACAGUUUCUGAGUGAGCUAUCUACUCCAGAGAAUAAAAAUCAUUAACCAUUAUGUCCCACUAUAGAAUACAAACUUCAGAAGUAUGAGCACAUACUGCCAAAGUCUUGUCUGGUGAAGAAAUAAUUUGACUUCUGCUUUAAACCUCAUGCAAAAUGAAGGAAUAAUGAACUUCAAAUGCAAAACUAUACCUCCCUCAUAAUAUCUCUGUUUUAGUACUCUGCAUUUAUUUCAAAAUACUUUAAUAUAUAUUUAUACAUCACACACCAAGGUGACCAGAUGUUGAAAUCAAGAUGGGAACAUGCAAACUCCAAAUUAAAUUACUUGAGCACAGAAAUGUCCUGUUUUUCUUUCUUUAUUGUUCUACAGUUGUAAAUCAGCAAAAUGACUGGUUACAGGAAGAACAGAACUUCCUAUCCUGACAGGGUCUUCAAUAUAUCCAUCUUCAUCACAUUCACCUUCUUAUUCAAUUUACUCCAAGGGAAAAAGAGUUCCAGGAUAGUAAAGUGUCCAGAGAAUGAAACUGACCACACUUCUCCAUCUAGCACCAUGGUACAGAAUGCAGAGAGUUUUACCUUCAUGGCCUGUAUACGUUUUAAUGGUGUGCUACUGUCACAGGGGUGUCAGAUCACAGAAAGACUCAACCAGCUGGAACUCCUCAAUAUAGAAGUGUGCAUAUUGAGAAAAGGAGAAGAUCCCAGAACCAGUGUGCGAAUAUAUGCAGCUGCCGAAGGUAUCACUGUUACCCUUGCCUGGAGAAUUCUCCAUGAACAGUCACUUUACUAAUACCACAUCCAGUGACUGCAAGGUCUCACUCCUCCCAACAACAGUGCAAGAGUGGAGAUUUGCUAAUGGAUUCUUGCAAAAUGCAUUGUAAACACAGUCUAUAGCUAACAUCCCGUUUGCUGAUGAUGUGGGAUUCUCGAGGGCCAGUACUGUGUACUUUCAUAAUACCCAGGUUUGGAGUGUACGACAAUCCUCACACCGCCAUGGCAUCAAGCCAUCAACUUGGAUUUUCCAUAUGAUGAGGGGUUUAUUGCUGUAUUAGUCAUGGUUUCAGCUGUGGAUUCUUUUAUGUUAUGCAUAAUGCUACAACAGCCACACCAUCAGUUCCAUACAAACCUACAGAAAGACAACAUUCAUAGCAUACCAGAUACAAAAAUCUUCUCAUCAGGUACACACAAAGAAACCUGUAAAAUUACUAUAUAUGUAACAAACAGAUCAUAAUUACAACCUGCACCUCUAUGGCCUAGGAAAAUUUACCAUACUCCUAGAGAACAAGGCAAACAUCAAAUUCAUUCAAUGAGGCACAAAAAAAAUCUGCCACUCAGAUUAUAACACAGCAACCAGCCCCUCAUCAUGUGCAAAGAAUGACUACACAUCCAUGACAUGUAGUCCAUUACUACCUAUUUAUGCCAUAAUAAAACGUGCAAUAUUCAGUGAUUUUACCCACAGUAACCUUUACAUUUUACUAUUCAUAUCACCUUUACAUACACAAAACUUACCUUUUAUACCUAUUUUGUUUAUACAUUUACAGCAGUUACAUUGCUUUUAUACAUUUUACAGCUGCCUUGUAUCCCAUUUUACCACAUGACAUCUAAAAUAGGCAAAACAAUUUGAGAAGAAUAAGCAUAUAAAUACUGGCCAAUGUACAGAGUCAGCAGAAAGCAGAUAAUAAAUGUACUAUACUAAAAUCUCUGAAGAACGUCUCUAUGGUUGAAACAUAUAGCUAAACAAAUAUAUAAUUAAUUAUUAAAAUAUAUGUGUGUUUUGCUGACAGACUCCUCACAAACUGGAGGAAUGUCAUUAGUUACAUUAUAAACCAAGGAAACGGACAAGGGCAGGAGAAGAAAAUAAUACAUCAUGGUAGUUUAAAACAGAUAUAAUAGAAAUACUUCAGUGCUAUGUUUGUCAUCUACAAUACAAACAAUUUAAACCAUGUUUCCUAGAAUUAAUUUUUUUACUCAAUCAAAAAAGAACAUACAAAAAACAUUCUGGUCACGAAACAUUAAUUCGCAUAAAAAUACUAAAAAUACUUGAUUUCCCUCUAAGCUAUAUCACAGAUUCUUAUGCAAAACACAAUCCAACUUCAACUGCUGGAAUGGUACCACAGAUAUGAAAAAUUACAUAAAUUCCCAUAUCUAGAACUAGUUUCUUGUCUUAUAAAUUAUUAUUCUUAAUCCUGGAUACCAAUGUUCUUACUCAUUUCCAAGAAUUUUGCUUUGUGCUUUCAUACCAUUUUUCAGUAUGACAUUACAAUUUACUCUGAACUACAUACUUGAUUUGGCAAAAUUAACUGCAGAAAAUAUCAACACAAAACAACUGUAUUACUGGUCUUCUUCCACUAAAGAUUAUAAAACUAAAUAGGAACUGUUGAGAUUUUGUUAUACAUUAAUUAAAGUACUCUUAACAUAUCCAAACAUAUCAUGAUAUGAAUGCAUGUCCAUUUUAAGAUGAAUGGUUAUCAUAUAAUAUUACUGUAAUUAAUUUUACUUUGAAAAAGUCAAAAAAUGAAAGCAGAGUAUUUCAGUCACUUAAAUAGUAUGCUAAUCACUAGUGCAUCAGCAUAAUAGCAUUGUAUCAUAUUAUUAAAAUAAAUUACUGAUUACUAUAGUAAGUAUUAUGCUGUAUAGUGGCUAGAAUAUUAAUUUAGUAAUGUAAUGAAAAGUGAUAAAGUAAAUACUAAACUAACUCAGCAUGUAAAAAGUCAGAUUAUAUUUACAUGGGCAACAGCAACUCCUGAAAUCUAGUGAUUCUUAUAGGUAUGUUCGCAAUUUAUUUAACAGUUGUUUCAAAUCAUAAGCAAAAUUAUAGUCAUUUGGAGGAACAGUACUUACUACAUUACUCAAAUGAAAACACAUGCUUAUUCACUGUAAAUAUAACUAAAAUAUUUGAUGACAUGUCAUGACAUUCUGAAUGCUGGUAAGAGAUUCAUAUUUGUUAGAUAAUGCUAACAGCUGAAAUCAGUCUGCUUCAAUUUUCAGAUCUAAAAACGCAGCAAGGACAGUUUGUAUCAUGUUUGUUUAAAUCAUAACUGUGGAACUACAAAAUAUAUCAAAUAUAAAGUUACACUGGUCCCAAAAUUUUACUAUCUGACAGAAAAGACACAAAAAUUGGAAAUGAAUAGCUGAAAUUGUAAGAAACUGGUAAAGUAAAAAGUAAAGCUAUCCCUGUAAUAGGCUGUGAAGGCCCAUAGAGUUGUGAGACGUUGAGGGUCCCAC